This 327-nucleotide unclassified non-coding RNA is filed under the name soil metagenome. Its description in RNAcentral is "partial contains 5.8S ribosomal RNA, internal transcribed spacer 2, and large subunit ribosomal RNA". The stretch from base 1 to 120 matches the Rfam family "5.8S ribosomal RNA", at positions 35 to 154 of the family's 154-position model. The record is from RNAcentral.
GAUGAAGAACGUAGCGAAAUGCGAUAAGUAGUGUGAAUUGCAGAAUUCAGUGAAUCAUCGAAUCUUUGAACGCACAUUGCGCCCCUUGGUAUCCCGAGGGGCAUGCCUGUUCGAGCGUCAUUUCACCACUCAAGCCUGGCUUGGUGUUGGGCGACGUCCUCUUUGGGGACGCGCCUCGAAACGCUCGGCGGCGUGGCACCGGCUUUAAGCGUAGCAGAAUCUUUCGCUUUGGAAGUCGGGGCCCCGUCUGCCGGAAGACCUGCUCGCAAGGUUGACCUCGGAUCAGGCAGGGAUACCCGCUGAACUUAAGCAUAUCAUAAGCGAGGA